This 630-nucleotide ribosomal RNA is filed under the name uncultured bacterium. Its description in RNAcentral is "bacterial SSU rRNA". The stretch from base 1 to 529 matches the Rfam family "Bacterial small subunit ribosomal RNA", at positions 338 to 873 of the family's 1533-position model. The record is from RNAcentral.
CCUACGGGAGGCAGCAGUGGGGAAUAUUGGACAAUGGGCGGAAGCCUGAUCCAGCAACGCCGCGUGAGGGAUGACGGCCUUCGGGUUGUAAACCUCUUUCAGUAUCGACGGAGCGCCCGUGUGGGUGGUGACGGUAGGUACAGAAGAAGCACCGGCCAACUACGUGCCAGCAGCCGCGGUAAUACGUAGGGUGCGAGCGUUGUCCGGAAUUAUUGGGCGUAAAGGGCUCGUAGGCGGUUUGUCGCGUCGGGAGUGAAAACACUGGGCUUAACCGGGUGCUUGCUUUCGAUACGGGCAGACUAGAGGUAUGCAGGGGAGAACGGAAUUCCUGGUGUAGUGGUGAAAUGCGCAGAUAUCAGGAGGAACACCGGUGGCGAAGGCGGUUCUCUGGGCAUUACCUGACGCUGAGGAGCGAAAGUGUGGGGAGCGAACAGGAUUAGAUACCCUGGUAGUCCACACCGUAAACGUUGGGCGCUAGGUGUGGGGCCUAUUCCAUGGUUCGUCGCGCAGCUACGCAUAGACGCCCGCCGUCGGGUAGGUACGGCCGGCGACGGACGUAAACCGUUAAAACGGUAAAGUUAGACGGUCGUGUAGACGUUGUCCGAACGGACGACGACGAGGGAGGUAGGG